UCAUCAGGUAGCUCUGCAUAGAAGAAAAGCGACACCAGGGCCUAACCUCCGUACUUGGACCCGUCGGCCGUGACGGCGUUGAGGGAGAGGCUGGUCUGGAUGUACCCGGGGCUGACGACGGUCACCUCGAUGUCAUGCCGCUCCACCUCGGCCCGCAGGCAGUCGAAGAAGGCCUGGGUCGCGUGUUUGGAGGCCGCGUCUGCAAAGGUCGGUGGCCAGAGAGGCAGGUACCUACGCGGGAUGCGACACAGAAGGCACAUGUGUACGGACGUGGCCUCACGCUGUGCCUGUUUCCGUGCCACUCCUGCACGUAGCUCUCUCCAGCGGGGGACAGACGGGGCGGCUGCCAUGCUCCUUGUGGUCACAGGCCACAUUGCGACAGUGCGUCCAGGGAGGCUCCCUGCACGUGCAGGAGCGUGUGUACAAACCCACCUCUGGCCGCCUCACGUCUUUUGUCUGACAGCUUCUACAGGAUGGCCUUUCACCUGGAAGAGCUGUCCGGGCCCCCUCCGCUCCCCAGCAACAGCCUCACUGCACGGCGUCAGGUGCUCUGAGGGGACAGAGGAACCCUACGAUGGCACUGCUGGGAAACAGCAUCUCCACUGACGGUUUCCAGAUUUGGAGUGCACACGUUCGAGCCUGAGGAAAGGGCAUCCCUCAGCCACAUAACUGUAGGCCCUGUGAGCAGCCCUAGAGCGUCCGGACCCUGCAGAGCCUCUGGAGGACCGGCCUGGCCGAACGAACGCUCUGCGGGUGGGUGGCUCGAGACACGCUCCUACCAGCCGUGAUUCCAGAGGCACGGCCCAGGCCGGGGCCCGAGAGGACUGAGCCAGCUGGGGGCCUCCCUGACCCCCGGUCUCCACAGCUCUCGGGCUGUGUGUAGGUCCGCGGCCAGGCCGUGCUAACCUCAACGCCGUGACUGUGGUCCCCAGGGCUCCACGUGCCCCACACCCCUCCUGGAUCCUCCCACUCGGCCUCACAACAGCCCCGAGAGGUACACGAAGCCACCCCCACUUCACGAGUGGGGAGACUGCUGCCCGUUGGGUUGGCUGACGUGCCCGGGAGGCACCGCCUUGUCCGGCCUGGUGGUUAUAAAGCACCCAGAACAACCAAGUGUGACCUACGCAGUCACAGCCAAGAGGAGGACAAAACUCAGUGGGACUAAAUCCAAGUGAAGUUUGGAAAUAAUUCAGUACAAAGAACUCCUUGACCCUGUAAAUCCUUUUCCCUGUUAUUGCCUCAUCUGCUCUGUCACAUGUGAUGCCUGCAUAUCUAUUCCUCAGGCGGCUGUCCUGCGCCAGCGAAGUGAAACAGAAAACUGGCAAAGGGAAAUAACCACCCCAGAAACAAGCACGGAUACGGCGGGUGUCUCACGUUGUCUUGAGCACGGCCGUGGAGACUGUCUGAUGACAUGAGGGGGCAGUGCGGGCUCAGACGAGUCCCACGGCCGACCCAGACACACAGCCGGCACCAGGAGGACGGCUGCGCUGCGUUCGGGCUGACGGGUGGUUCCCAGUCGUCCAGCUGGGUGUGCGUGGCCGUCCGUUCACGGUGCGGAGGCGGCUUCGCCCCUCCCCUCCCUUCCCGUGGCUAUGUUGAGCAUCUGGAGAGGGGGAGACUGUUACAGCUGAGUGUUUCCUUGCAGAUGGUGGAGCAAAGAAUGCAGUUCCCAGGACAGUUCGUGAAAUCACCUUUCAAAUCUUUUAACAAAAGUAGAAUCUGCUUGCUGGUGCUCGUGAUGGCGCAAUCUCAACAUUCUGGCGUAGCCAUUCAUGCAGGGAGGUGAGAGUCGGAACUGAAGUCAAGCUGGCAGCGUUCCUGUUUUGGUCCUAUGUCCACUUUUUGGAACUAAUCUUACUGAAACCCUCCCAUGAGCGCCCAGAGAUAAAAAUACUGAAGGAUGCUGUACACAGCACAUCACUGCUACUGGUCACCGACUGAAGGGACGCAAAUCCUCACGUGUCACGAAAACUACUAAGGAAAUUAUGCCACAUCCAUUCGAUUAAUGACUGUAUAUCCACUUAAAGGAACUAGGGAGAAAACAAUAAAGGAAACGUGGGAAGGAGAAGGAAGUACUCACACGCGGAUCGGAAAGGAACGCUGAUUUUGCCCUGGAUACUGCUGAUGGCGACAACGUGGCCCUGGCGCCUUCUGAUCAUAGAGGGCAGGAGCGCUGUGGGGAGAGGGCAGAGGUCACUGCAGCUCAUGCUGAGAGCCUCGGGGGGGGACUGUCUGCUGGAACUCUUAGCCCCCUGCGCCCAGGAGGGGAGGGAGGGCCUCUCCCUGGAGUGAGAACCGUGGCUGGACGUCAGAAGGCCCCACUCUGUAGGUGUGCAGACACAGUGGAAAGACAUGGAGCCAACACUGUGCAGAUGAGGCUGUUGCUGAGGAGAACAUCUCGACGUAAGACCGUAAAGCAGUUGAAGAAAAUGCAAAUAAAAGCCCAGAAAAGCCAACACCCAGGCUGUAAGGACAGCACUGACUCCAGGGUCAAACGGAUGGGACAGGCCAGGUCUAGGAAGAAGGAACCAAGGGAAAUACAAAGAAUACCGACGUGCCUGUGCUCGUCUUCCUUUCCACCCAAGACGGUUACCUUUCGUCAGAGCAACUGGACCAAAGUAGUUUGUCUCCAUGACUCUCCUGUCCACGUCCAGGCUGGUGUCCACAAUGGUGCCGCGGUAGCUGAUCCCAGCGUUGUUGAUGAGCACGUCCACAUAGCCAAAGCACUGCAGGAUCUCCGCAGCAGCCCCCACUAUGGCCCCAGGGUCCGUGAGGUCGAAGGUCACCGUGUAAGGCUUGUGAGUCUGCACCUGGGCGAGGACAGAAGCCAAACGCAGCUUCAGAGCGACGGGCGUGGGAGCCACAGGCCCUGCUUCUCAGUGCUGGGAGGGCCUGGCCGUGAAGGGACAGGUCACAACACUUCUCCUCUGAAGGAUGUGACCUGGAGGAGCCUGCCAACCCUGUCACACCUGACCUGGGCAGCCUUUCUCCUUAACUGACUGUAACUGCCACGGGGCAGGGGUCACGUAUGACAGAAGCAUGGCUCCCCUGGCCGCCCUGUGCCAGCCUGGCGCUGCACUGUCCUACGUCACAGAGCUGCUAUCCUUCUCAGGCCAGAUCAGUUUCAUUCUUCAUUCACAAAACAUUUUUAUAUGCCCCUAUAUGCUCAACACUGGGGACAUGGCAGAAAGCAAGACAGACGUGCUUCUGUCCUCCUAAAGCAUGCAGUCUUGUGGGGGAGACAGACAAAUUCUGUAAUUGAAGAGAAUGACGAGCCAAGCAGUCUAACUCAGGGGCCGUCGCAGAAUCUAAGAAGAUGAGGGAGGGGACGUGGAGUCAGAGGGAGGGGACGUGGAUUCAGAGGGAGCACGGAGAAGGAAGUGCCUGGAGCCCUGCCUCUGCCUAGACAGCUGCACUGGCAGCAACUCUCUGGAGUGAAAUGACGUCAUGACUCUGGAGUCUGUCUGAACGCCUGCAGCUUCCAGGGGAGUGCUCGGCUGACAAAGUAUAGACAAUUUUGGCCAAUUUCAACCAUUAGCUCCAUGGUGGGCCCACCCCUGUGGUGGGCAGCUGUGGGAAAGGCAACCCGCAUUUCUCUUGCGGCUUGAAGGAGCCAAGGUAGACAAUAAGGACCUUGUCUUCCACAUACCAGGACUGCAUUCUGAUGGUGGAUGCUGUUCUGAUCACCGAGCUGCAGCAUGGAAGCAGGCUGCACUCUUUUAACCACCACCUGCUGAAGUGGCUUCCAGUAGGUUUAAUGGAGUUGCACUUGCCUUCUGGUAUUCAAAAAUGUAGAUAAAUCCCCAGAAAAACAUUCCUCAGGAA
Molecule: long non-coding RNA, 3825 nt
Organism: Eubalaena glacialis (North Atlantic right whale)
Lineage: Eukaryota; Metazoa; Chordata; Mammalia; Artiodactyla; Balaenidae
Exons: 3
Source: RefSeq, a predicted model, not a curated record